UACGGAGGGUGCAAGCGUUGCUCGGAUUUAUUGGGCGUAAAGGGCAGGUAGGCGGUUUCGUUUGUCUGGGGUGAAAGCCUUGAGCUUAACUCAAGAAGUGCCCCAGAAACGGCGAGACUAGAGUCCUAGAGAGGGUCGUGGAAUUCCCGGUGUAGCGGUGAAAUGCGUAGAUAUCUGGAGGAAUACCGGUGGCGAAGGCGGCAUCCUGGACCGACAUUGACGCUGAGGAGCGAAAGCUAGGGGAGCAAACGGG
RNAcentral lists this ribosomal RNA (253 nucleotides) under uncultured bacterium. RNAcentral's name for it is "partial 16S ribosomal RNA". It matches the Rfam family "Bacterial small subunit ribosomal RNA", at positions 524 to 776 of the family's 1533-position model. The record is from RNAcentral.